UUCAUUCACUUCGCUGGUGCUGGCGCUCUCGAGAAGGAAAAUAUUUUUGCUUUUCACAUCCAAAAUCCGAUUUCUGUAACUCGAAUUGAGAAAAUACUCUUCCAUUGCAGUCGAUACCAUCAUUGAAGAAAAAAAAUUCUUCGAUUCGCACCCUCAAGUCUCCGGAAAAAUCAGUUGUUUUGAGAAUACCACAGAAGGUCUAAGCUUGAGGAAUAUUCAGAAUGCUUAUUGUGAAC
Long non-coding RNA from Armigeres subalbatus, 236 nucleotides. RefSeq lists it as uncharacterized. Lineage: Eukaryota; Metazoa; Arthropoda; Insecta; Diptera; Culicidae. The transcript has 3 exons. The record is from RefSeq and is a predicted model, not a curated record.